Molecule: ribosomal RNA, 496 nt
Filed under: uncultured bacterium
Lineage: Bacteria
Description: partial 16S ribosomal RNA
Rfam family: Bacterial small subunit ribosomal RNA
Source: RNAcentral
GAUGAACGCUGGCGGCGUGCCUAAUACAUGCAAGUCGAGCGAACAGACGAGGAGCUUGCUCCUCUGACGUUAGCGGCGGACGGGUGAGUAACACGUGGAUAACCUACCUAUAAGACUGGGAUAACUUCGGGAAACCGGAGCUAAUACCGGAUAAUAUAUUGAACCGCAUGGUUCAAUAGUGAAAGACGGUUUUGCUGUCACUUAUAGAUGGAUCCGCGCCGCAUUAGCUAGUUGGUAAGGUAACGGCUUACCAAGGCAACGAUGCGUAGCCGACCUGAGAGGGUGAUCGGCCACACUGGACCUGAGACACGGUCCAGACUCCUACGGGAGGCAGCAGUAGGGAAUCUUCCGCAAUGGGCGAAAGCCCGACGGAGCAACGCCGCGUGAGUGAUGAAGGUCUUCGGAUCGUAAAACUCUGUUAUUAGGGAAGAACAAAUGUGUAAGUAACUAUGCACGUCUUGACGGUACCUAAUCAGAAAGCCACGGCUAACUACGU